Molecule: ribosomal RNA, 740 nt
Filed under: uncultured bacterium
Lineage: Bacteria
Description: bacterial SSU rRNA
Rfam family: Bacterial small subunit ribosomal RNA
Source: RNAcentral
AGAGUUUGAUCAUGGCUCAGAACGAACGCUGGCGGCAGGCCUAACACAUGCAAGUCGAACGCUCCGCAAGGGGAGUGGCAGACGGGUGAGUAACACGUGGGAAUCUUCCUAUUGGUAUGGAAUAGCUCAGGGAAACUUGGGGUAAUACCGUAUAAGCCCGAGAGGGGAAAGAUUUAUCGCCAAUAGAUGAGCCCGCGUCUGAUUAGCUAGUUGGUGAGGUAAUGGCUCACCAAGGCGACGAUCAGUAGCUGGUCUGAGAGGAUGAUCAGCCACACUGGGACUGAGACACGGCCCAGACUCCUACGGGAGGCAGCAGUGGGGAAUAUUGGACAAUGGGCGCAAGCCUGAUCCAGCCAUGCCGCGUGAGUGACGAAGGUCUUCGGAUUGUAAAGCUCUUUUGGCGGGGACGAUAAUGACGGUACCCGCAGAAUAAGCCCCGGCUAACUUCGUGCCAGCAGCCGCGGUAAUACGAAGGGGGCUAGCGUUGUUCGGAAUCACUGGGCGUAAAGCGCACGUAGGCGGAUUUGUUAGUCAGGGGUGAAAUCCCGGGGCUCAACCUCGGAACUGCCUCUGAUACUGCAGAUCUCGAGUCCGAUAGAGGUGAGUGGAAUUCCUAGUGUAGAGGUGAAAUUCGUAGAUAUUAGGAAGAACACCAGUGGCGAAGGCGGCUCACUGGAUCGGUACUGACGCUGAGGUGCGAAAGCGUGGGGAACAAACAGGAUUAGAUACCCUGGUAGUCC